AUGAACGCUAGCGGCAGGCUUAAUACAUGCAAGUUGAGGGGCAGCAUGAUAUACGCGAGUAUAUUGGAUGGCGACCGGCGGACGGGUGAGUAAUAGGUAGGAGACCUACCUCAUACAGGGGGAUAGCAUAGAGAAAUCUGUGGUAAUACCCCAUGAGGUUAUAUGAAUAGAGGCAUAUAAUCAAAGCAUAAGCGAUUAUGCGGUAUGAGAGGGGCCUACUGACCAUUAGCUAGUUGGUGAGGUAAGGGCUCACCAAGGCGAAGAUGGUUAGGGGUUUUGAGAGAGAGACCCCCCACAUUGGAACUGAGAGACGGUCCAGACUCCUACGGGAGGCAGCAGUAGGGAAUAUUGGGCAAUGGGCGAAAGCCUGACCCAGCCAUGCCGCGUGAAGGAAGACGGCCUUAUGGGUUGUAAACUUCUUUACUACGCGAAUAGAGGUUAGUACGAGAUACUAAUAGGAAGGUAGUGUAGUAAAAAGCACCGGCUAACUCCGUG
Molecule: ribosomal RNA, 495 nt
Filed under: uncultured bacterium
Lineage: Bacteria
Description: bacterial SSU rRNA
Rfam family: Bacterial small subunit ribosomal RNA
Source: RNAcentral